This 466-nucleotide ribosomal RNA is filed under the name uncultured bacterium. RNAcentral's name for it is "partial 16S ribosomal RNA". It matches the Rfam family "Bacterial small subunit ribosomal RNA", at positions 30 to 507 of the family's 1533-position model. The record is from RNAcentral.
CGACCGCUGGCGGCGUGCUUAACACAUGCAAGUCGAACGGAAAGGCCUGCAGCUUGCUGCGGGUACUCGAGUGGCGAACGGGUGAGUAACACGUGGGUGAUCUGCCUUGCACUUCGGGAUAAGCUUGGGAAACUGGGUCUAAUACCGGAUAGGACAGCUGUUUAGUGUCAGUUGUGGAAAGUUUUUUCGGUGCAAGAUGAGCUCGCGGCCUAUCAGCUUGUUGGUGGGGUAAUGGCCUACCAAGGCGUCGACGGGUAGCCGGCCUGAGAGGGUGUACGGCCACAUUGGGACUGAGAUACGGCCCAGACUCCUACGGGAGGCAGCAGUGGGGAAUAUUGCACAAUGGGCGGAAGCCUGAUGCAGCGACGCCGCGUGGGGGAUGAAGGCCUUCGGGUUGUAAACUCCUUUCGACAGGGACGAAGCUUUUGUGACGGUACCUGUAUAAGAAGCACCGGCUAACUACGUG